AAAGUCGUAACAAGGUUUCCGUAGGUGAACCUGCGGAAGGAUCAUUAUUAAAUGAAUAUACAUCUAUUCAUCCCUCUGUGCACUGUUGGAGAGCAAAUAUUAUCACUGGCAAAAAUCUUUGUCGGUGAUGGGUUUUGCUUAACAUUUUUUUUAACGCUAUUCACAUUUAUUAUGUCUGAAAUUAUUUUAUUACAAAUAAAAAACAACUUUCAACAACGGAUCUCUUGGCUCUC
Molecule: unclassified non-coding RNA, 233 nt
Filed under: Glomeromycotina sp.
Lineage: Eukaryota; Fungi; Glomeromycota
Description: partial contains small subunit ribosomal RNA, internal transcribed spacer 1, and 5.8S ribosomal RNA
Rfam family: Eukaryotic small subunit ribosomal RNA (bases 1-47)
Source: RNAcentral